AUGCUUGAGGUUAGAGUAGAAGAACCUGUCCAGUUGCUCUCCUUCAAUGAUGACGUGAAAAGUGCUGAAGAAGUGUUUGAACUCGGAAGAGAUGAAAGUUCAUUUCUAACGAUAGGUCAUGGUAUGGUGCAAUAUCUGAAUCCCAACCUGCUUGAACGGCAUCACUAUCUGUAUGUUCAUGGCGCAGAUGAGCAUCCUAAGUAUGACAAUGGAGGGCCAGUUAUUGACUUUGAUGGCAAGAUUGUGGGAAUGGUCAGCAACAGCACGAGAGGGUCCAUUAUCCCUUCAUCCAUUUUGCUCAAGUGCUUGCAUUUGUGUAAGAAAUUUGGGUAUUGUCUUUUCUUUUAG
RNAcentral lists this ribosomal RNA (348 nucleotides) under Triticum aestivum (bread wheat). RNAcentral describes it as "partial small subunit ribosomal RNA". The record is from RNAcentral. Lineage: Eukaryota; Viridiplantae; Streptophyta; Magnoliopsida; Poales; Poaceae.